This 220-nucleotide ribosomal RNA is filed under the name uncultured bacterium. Its description in RNAcentral is "partial 16S ribosomal RNA". It matches the Rfam family "Bacterial small subunit ribosomal RNA", at positions 57 to 305 of the family's 1533-position model. The record is from RNAcentral.
GCAAGUCGAGCGAGACCUUCGGGUCUAGCGGCGGACGGGUGAGUAACGCGUGGGAACGUGCCCUUUGCUUCGGAAUAGCCCCGGGAAACUGGGAGUAAUACCGGAUACGCCCUUUGGGGGAAAGAUUUACCGGCAAAGGAUCGGCCCGCGUUGGAUUAGGUAGUUGGUGGGGUAAUGGUCUACCAAGCCGACGAUCCAUAGCUGGUUUGAGAGGAUGAUC